AAGAAACGGGAUUAUAAUAAUUUUUAGGCACAUUCUUUGAUUUUUGUCCUUCAGAAUCAACUCGGCUCCUAUAAAACGUAUCUAAACUCUGUCCACCAUUUCUCUCCGCCGCAAAUCGCCGCUCCACCUUACGCGCCGCCAUCACUGUCUAGAUCAAACCGCCACCCUCCAUUUACCUGAUCAUUCACCGUCCAUAACAGGGUUGAGAAAAAUCCCAUUUCCAGGUUCUUCAACCAAUUUCCAAACACCCAUUAUAUAGAUCAGUCAUUAUAACUGCAGUGCUCGUGAAUGUCAACACUAUCAUUUCUUUAUCCCGUAAUCUAUAUGUUUUUUUUGAGCUGUAUGCAUUUUUAGAGAAAGUGAGCUAGAGAUUGUUCUGUAUUGCGUUGAUCUUAUGGUGUCAUUUAUUUGAAUUAUGAAUUUUGGAUUUAUUUAAAAUGAAAAUUAUAUUCACAAUUCGGGAUUAGAUACGAUAAAAGUCAGUUCUAUUGUUUAAGUUUUAUUUUUUUGGUGGAUUUAUUGUUGUGUAACUCCAGCUGGAGCAUUUCUCAUAAAGAUCCUUUCUUUGCAGCUAUAUUGUAUCAAAAAAUUGGAUGGUUUUAUGGUGCUCUGUGGUCAUUGUUACAUGUUAUUUUAGUUCGGAAAGAAGAGGAUUUAGUUUUAACUUAUUUAUCUACUUUCGUCGAGAUUCAGUAAAAAAAAAAAAUAUUUAUAAACUGCACUUCAUUUGUUUGGUUGAAUGGGUGGGAUGACUUUGUUAAGCUGCAAGCUUUCACGGUUUAAAAUGGAAAAUUGAUCGAGUUUGUUUUACAUUUUGGCAUAAGAACUAUAACAUUUUGGCAGUCAUUAUAAAUAAGAGUGAUAUACCAAUACAGUAGCUGAAACAGCUGAAAUUAAUGAUAUUGGGGUUUGUUUUUCAUUGCCGAGUGUAAGAGAGUUUCACAAGGGAGGGAGGUGCAAUAAAAGGCCAGUCUACGAAAUCGGACUGAGGUGGGCAUUUCUGAUAUAACAAGAUGUUUUGUCUAAAGAAAUUAAGGCAAGGCAUAGCAUCAGAUUAUGACAGUUACCUCGGACUGACAUGGAUUUUGGUAUUUGUUUUAACUGAUGAUAUUAGCUAAUGUGGGAAGAUUUGCCAUUGGUUAUCCAUAAAAGAGAUUAAUCAUAUAUGGGUGCAUUAUUAGGUACUAUAGAGUGGUAGAAUAAACUUGGCAUUGACAGAAGACAUUAGCCUUUGCAUUCCAUAUUCUUUGAGGACUUGUGGAUUUCCAAAAGUUCAGCUCAGAGAUUCGGAUUGCUUGUCAUUAUUUUAGGAGAAAAUUGUGAUGGAGAUCAAGAUAAGUAUAAAGAUGGAAGUAGAUUUUAAUUAGUGUUUUAAAGUAGUGUUUGAUUUAAAGUAUAUUUAGUCAAAUCUAGUUAGAUUAGUUUUGAUAUUUUGGUGCAAUUAUCGUUUAUUAGAAGUUUGUUCCCUUUUUAACUUAUUUUUAGUUUAUUUUUUUCUAUAAAUAGAAGGGAUUAUUCAUUGUAAUUUACAACCUGAUUAUAUGAAUAAAUAUUGAUUUCUCUUUGCUCUUAAUUCUUCUCCUCUUGGCCUGUGCAUAGGCUUGCCAUGUACUCAUAUAGUCAGUCCUUUUCAAUAUCAUUUAGUCUUUUCUCAUUGAGAUCUCUAUUUCAUUUUUUGGUGCAUUCCAGCGUUUCUGAGCAAUUAAUGCUGUGUAAACCGACAGGGUUUAUAUCAAUCAAAAGCAUGUUGGGUUGCUUGGGAACCAGAUGUUGAAAGUUGCACUGUCGUAAAAUAUGAGUGCUUGCUCCUGUCAGCUUGAUUCACAUGUUGAAUUGACAUUUACAUCCUUCAGCUAAUAGGUAAUUUUAACUAAAACUCAAAAAACCAGUACUUUUAAGAAAAUUGACUUAUUAUUUAGAUAUGACUACUUGCACCUGUUACCUUGAUGUGCUGUGCACUUUUAUGCUGAAAGGUAGAGAUGGCANNN
RNAcentral lists this long non-coding RNA (1988 nucleotides) under Olea europaea (common olive). RNAcentral's name for it is "long non-coding RNA (OEUR_LNC006889)". The record is from RNAcentral. Lineage: Eukaryota; Viridiplantae; Streptophyta; Magnoliopsida; Lamiales; Oleaceae.